CCAAUCCAAUAGAAUAUGAAUCAGAUCUUGUCAAGGCCCCAUGGAAUAAGUAAGAGGCACCAGGCUUCCCUAUUCAGAUCCCAAUAGUUUUUCCUAACUCAGUAACCUUUCAUAGUAAACAGAGAAACUAGAAUCAUUUUUCUUUCUCCUUGGUUAUUAUUCUGAGGGUUGCAGAUUUUGAAGUUAUUUUUGUUUCCAUCAACU
This 204-nucleotide long non-coding RNA is filed under the name Bos taurus (domestic cattle). RNAcentral's name for it is "long non-coding RNA NONBTAT007387". The record is from RNAcentral. Lineage: Eukaryota; Metazoa; Chordata; Mammalia; Artiodactyla; Bovidae.